AACGAACGCUGGCGGCAUGCCUAACACAUGCAAGUCGAACGAAGCCUUCGGGCUUAGUGGCGCACGGGUGCGUAACGCGUGGGAAUCUGCCCCUUGCUUCGGAAUAACAGUUAGAAAUGACUGCUAAUACCGGAUGAAGUCUUCGGACCAAAGAUUUAUCGGCAAGGGAUGAGCCCGCGUAGGAUUAGGUAGUUGGUGGGGUAAAGGCCUACCAAGCCGACGAUCCUUAGCUGGUCUGAGAGGAUGAUCAGCCACACUGGGACUGAGACACGGCCCAGACUCCUACGGGAGGCAGCAGUGGGGAAUAUUGGACAAUGGACGCAAGUCUGAUACAGCAAUGCCGCGUGAGUGAUGAAGGCCUUAGGGUUGUAAAGCUCUUUUACCAGGGAUGAUAAUGACGGUACCUGGAGAAUAAGCUCCGGCUAACUCCGUG
Molecule: ribosomal RNA, 433 nt
Filed under: uncultured bacterium
Lineage: Bacteria
Description: partial 16S ribosomal RNA
Rfam family: Bacterial small subunit ribosomal RNA
Source: RNAcentral